AUUCUACUCCCUCCGUCCCAUAGUAAGUGCCGAAAUAUUACAUGUAUCUAGAUGUAUUUUAGUAUAUAGAUACGUCCAUCUUUAGACAAAUUUGAGUCACUCAAUAUGGGACGGAGGGAGUAGAAG
Non-coding RNA from Brachypodium distachyon (stiff brome), 126 nucleotides. The record is from Rfam. Lineage: Eukaryota; Viridiplantae; Streptophyta; Magnoliopsida; Poales; Poaceae.